RNAcentral lists this unclassified non-coding RNA (184 nucleotides) under Borreliella burgdorferi (Lyme disease spirochete). RNAcentral describes it as "partial 5S-23S ribosomal RNA intergenic spacer". The record is from RNAcentral. Lineage: Bacteria; Pseudomonadati; Spirochaetota; Spirochaetia; Spirochaetales; Borreliaceae.
UUAACUUUGAUUUUAUUUUUAUGUUUUUUAAAUAUUGGUGUUUUUGAAUGUGUUGUUUAAAUAACAUAAAAAAUAAAAUAUAUAUUGACAUGUAUUAAACAAAGAUAUAUAUUAUUUUAUGUUGUAUAAAUAAAUUGGCAAAAUAGAGAUGGAAGAUAAAAAUAUGGUCAAAGUAAUAAGAGUC